GCUUUCCAAGCGCAAUUGGUUCGAGUUUUGGACUUUUAAUCCAAGGGUUUGGGGUUCGAGUCCCCGGGGAAGCG
Molecule: non-coding RNA, 74 nt
Organism: Trichomonas vaginalis G3
Lineage: Eukaryota; Parabasalia; Trichomonadida; Trichomonadidae
Source: Rfam